Long non-coding RNA from Triticum dicoccoides, 536 nucleotides. RefSeq lists it as uncharacterized. The record is from RefSeq and is a predicted model, not a curated record. NCBI's taxonomy places the organism in Eukaryota, Viridiplantae, Streptophyta, Magnoliopsida, Poales, Poaceae. The transcript has 3 exons.
UAUACUCUUUGUACUCCCCUUCAUAAUUUUAGUGAGAGGAGUUGUGGUUUGUAAUGCCAAUUUGGUGUUUCUUUUGUUAGCGGAAUCGUGGUCUGUAAUGCCAAUUUGGCCUUUCCCGAAAGAACUGGUUUAUCUUCAUCACUGAAAUAAUCCUGAUUCCUAAGGAGUUGAUCCUGUGAUGGCAAGCUUAACCAUUUGCUGGGAUGCGACGUUGCUCGCGCUCAAAUGUGAAUGAUUAUCUUUCGAGAUAUAUAGGAUUGCUCUAAGAUGCUUUAUGGGCCCCGAGUGUCGAAAAGAUGUGUAGUUUAUAGAUUGGAGAGAUUCUUUUCAAACUCAACCUGUGUCACAAGCUACUUGGUUACUUCUCAUUACUUGGAGGAUGCAUGGAUUGGAGAGAUUAUGGAUGAGGACUUAAUUAUGUGUAGCUAUGAUAUCUUUUAAUUUUGGUCAUAUGUAUCUUACAAGAAUUCCAGUAUAUAUUUUGGUCACCUGUAUCAGAAUAAGGAUGCACAUUUAAUUAUUACAACAUCCAAGCC